This 4604-nucleotide long non-coding RNA is filed under the name Nicotiana benthamiana. RNAcentral's name for it is "long non-coding RNA (NBEN_LNC027673)". The record is from RNAcentral. Lineage: Eukaryota; Viridiplantae; Streptophyta; Magnoliopsida; Solanales; Solanaceae.
AAUCAAAUAUAAAUGUGUAGUGUUGGACUAUCUGAUGCCCGCAGAAUGUGUCAAGCAGAUAUAAGAGUGUCGCUAUAAACUGUAUGGAUACUGGAAUAGUGCGCCAAGAUGGGAUAAAGAGCUUUUGACAUUGUGGACUCUCUGGUGCCUGCACAACUUGCCAAGCAAAUAUAAGUUGUGACGCCAAAGAUUGUCUGGUGCCGCAUUGUGCACCAAGCGUAGAUACAGGUUGCAUAAGUUUCGGGAAUGUUGUAUGAGGUGCAUGACUUGUAAAGUAAUUUUUAUGAUUUGUAAUUAUGAAGUUUGAUGCCUUGUUUGCACUAGGUUGACUAAUGUUAAAGGCAUAUUAUGUUUCAAAGAAACUACAACACAACAUACCUAGUAUAUUCCCACAAGUGGAAUUAAGGAGAAUAGUAUGUACGCAAUCCUUAACUCUACCUUGCAACUCUUUUCAUAAUUUUUUACACAUUUAUGACUUUAGAACUAAUGUCUCCAUAUGAAAUAUUCAAGUUUUCUAAAUUUAUAAUCUUUCUUACAAAUGCAUGUUUUUUCUUAAGACUUGUCCCAACUUUUAGAGGCAGAUCUAUCAGAUUUGCUGAGUAUACUCCGUCCAUCUACCUUCAAGUCUUACAGAUUCGGUUGACAUCUCCAUUUACGAGGCUUGAGCACCACUAGAUAGAUUUUUUACGGUGAGCACCACACUAGAUUGGUGGUGGCUUCCUUUGAUAUUUCUACCUUUACUUAUUGACGGGCUAUAUCCAGUUUCGGUUUAUGUAUAACGUUAUUCAUUAGAAGCUCCAUGCUUUACUGUGGAUUGAUGUGUAAGUACUUGGACCAUAAAUAGAUUGUAUAUCUCGUCAAGGCUUAAUUCAGAUAUGUGUUGUUUUCGCUUCAAUGGGAAGUUAUGCUUCAUUUAGCUGACGCAUGACAAUGUGGGAUCGCUUGGAACCCCAAUGUAUGCAAUAUGGGUAGUUGAUACAACAACAUUAAGUGCUCUCUCUGCAGACGCUGGCUCAUCGCGCGCCAUUCAUGGCCCUCCAGAUUUCGAUCGUGACAAAAUGUUAGUGCCGAUCAUUUACAACAAGUAUAAUAAGUGGCUUUAUCCAUCCUAAACAAGAGGUAUGAAAUUUCCUCAAAGAAGGAGUACAUAAGUUUAAAAAAUUUGAAUGCUUACUCUUCGAAACAUCACUUUCCUCUCCCAAAUAGCAAGGUGAGGAGUUCCAAUACUUCUGUAACUUAUGAGUGCCAAAUUGCCAGUGUUGUCCUUUCAGUGACACGUGCCGCAUUACCUAUGUUCUCAAUUUCCUGCAAAUGGUAGAAAGGCCAAAAUUGUGUUAGCUGCAAAUCGACUGACCAACCAUAGCAAGCUAAAUUAAUAACAUAUUCAAUCUUUCUUCUUAAUUAACUUAAAAUAGCAAGAGAUCUAUAUAUAUCAACCUUAAUUGUUAAUCUCAGCUGACAUACUGACAUUAAUCAGUUCAGAUUAAAUCUGCCAAAAGAAUUAUGUGUCAGAUUAACUCAACUAAACUACCCGCGGACAUGACCUAAACAUCCAGUAACCAUAGGACACAUUAAUCAGACCUUACAUCAAAUUCUUUUAACUCGACUAUAAAAUAUACCGUGUAAUACCAGAGCAGAAAGAAUCUUCUUAUGUCAAAUCCACAUGCACUAUAGAUCAAUUGUUAAUGUAGAUCUGUCUUAAAUAGUUAAUAGGGGACAAAAGUGCAACUAAAAUGAAUUUAAUUGACAAGGAAAAAGGAAAUUCAUUGGGCUAAACAAUUGUCCAAUAUACCAAUGUGUAAAAGUUCAAACAAUAUUAAUAUGCAAAUAAUGUAGAAGGAUACUUCUACAGUAUUAAAAGGCUGCCAUAUUACACCCGUUGAUAGGCAAUGAAGAAAACCAUUUUUACACUUGCAUAGAAAGAGAGGAAAUUUUGUCCAUAUCUUCUCCUAAAAGUGGUGCUAUAAAGUGCUGACCAGCCAGUACAGCGACCAAUUUUGUAUUCGUCCUUCGGAUGCUAUUGGAGCAUAAUACUCCAUAUGUAUUAAGUGAAAAUACAGACAAAUUCUUCUAAGAAUACAGCUUUUGAAUGGUUGAAACUACAUAAAAGCUACCAAAAAAAAUCUAUAUUUUACAUGCUUGUUUGAUGAGGAAUUAUUAAUUGACAAAACACGAGGACAUACGUUCAAAUUAGGUUGGGGGAUUAUGUUAGCUCGUUAAAGGACUAUAGAUCUUUUAUAUUGUGAUUUUGUUAGUAGUAAUAAUAUAUGAUGCAACUCCUUAACUUUUCCAUGAAUUUAUUCCAGGUAUUCCGGAUAUUUAUUUUGAUGAAGGUGUUCUAGAUAUUUAUAGUCACAUUAUGUACUUCAAACAUCAAAACGGGCAUUAUGUGUCAGACAUUUUUCUAUUUAUCAUCAUAUAAACUCUCAUAAUUGGCUGAGUGCAUUUUUUGAGCACAACAUCAUUGCAAGCGCUAAAUCUCCUUUGAUUAACUUCAAUAUGAGAAAACAUUCCUUUCUAAAACCUUUUUCCCAUCCGUUUACAAAGUUCAGUCUUUGUGUUAGCACGCAUUUUUACAGCUUCAAAAGUUGGAAAAUCUUACUCAUUUCCCAAGACCAAUGUAUUAGUAAUCAACUAUGCCUCAAUCCUAGAUUAGUUGUGUCCAUUAUAUGAUCCAUACGGUUUUCUUAACAUGGUAUACAAGAUCAUUCAUUAAAGUUCAAUAUUUUAUCUAACAGUAUCACAACCCUCGUCCUUUAACCGAACUUGUGAUCUCCUUAAGCAAUGUACCAUAAUUUGUGUGAAGAAUAUCGCAUAAAUAAGCCAAAGGAGUUCACUUAUAGGGAAAAGUUCAAAUGGAACUUGCUUAGUUGGUCGAAAACUGCCACCUCCAAAUCGAACCCUCUAUCGGGGCCUGUACAAAAGAUUAAUACGGCAUUACCCGGCUCUAGGGUAGCCCAGACACCACUGAGUGGUAUUGUACUGGGUCGUACUUUUUUUCUUUUACCCGGCUCUAGGGUAAGGCAAGUGAAGCCUUUACCUUAGGCCCCAAAUAUUUAAGGCCCCUAAAAUAUGAAACACUACUAGUCCCUCCUAAUUAUAUGAAUCCGUUUGAUUGGGCACUGAAUUUAAAGAUUUUUGUAAUUUGUGGUCCUAAACAAGUUAAAAAAAGACCCACAUUAUUUGUAUGGUUAUAAAAGCUUUUCAUUAAAGGUAGAAUUGUAAGUAUAAGCUAAACUGUUAUUAAAUUAAGAAAGAGGUCAUUAUUGUUGGAACGGAUCAAAAAGAAAAUAGGUUCACGUAAACGAGAACAGAUGGACUAUAUUAUUAUAUAAUAUAAAUUCCAUAAUUCUCUUAUUUUUAAAAUUUGGUAGAAGUAGGACUGAGUGACUUAAAAAAAAAUUCUCUUACUAAAUUAAUCAACAUAUUUACCUUCUCAUCAUUCUAUUUUUCUUCCUUUAUGUAUAAUUUUUUUUAUGUUUCUCAUGAUUUUACUUUCUAAUUUCAAUUCAAAUUCUUUAAAUUAGCUAUUCUUUUUGGUCAUAUUUGAUUGAUUCACACACCAGAAAGUAGAUUUUUUUGUGUCUCAUCUUUUUUAACUAAGAUAUCCCCGAGACAAAUAUCACAAAACUCAAAACACGAUGGAUAAUGGGCUCACCCUUUUACCAUUUUUACUUAGGGUAAGAAUUCAAUAGCAUAUGAUGCGCGCCUAACCCGUACAUCUUGAGAUGCGCUCUCACCACUAGAUCAAAAUCAUGUAGGUUAUUUUUUGUGUCUCAAUAUUUAUAGAGUUCAUAAAAGAAGUUCCAGGGUCGUUUAAUAUAUUUUGCUUUUAGGCCACCGAUUCUGUUGAGCCGCCCCUCAUUAAUGAUCAACAAUUAUUUACGGACUACUGUCCCACCAUGAACGUGUGGUUCAACCAAUUUUAUUCAUAUUUGGUAACUUAAUGACACAUUCAGUGCCUUUAAUAUUCUUGUUAUUGUUGUUUUAUCUUAAUUAACACUCUAUAAAUUUGAUUGAGAAUGUUAGGGAUGGACUAGUGAAUCUAGUAGGAGACUCGUAAAGCAAACUAUAAAAGACAAGUAUGAAAAAAAUGGCAAGACUAAUUCUUUUGCAUAUAUGUGUAUACAUACUAUAAAAAAGUAUAAGGCAUCUUAUUCAAAUUUGGCUUUAUAAUACUAAUUUUAUGAAGCCGCCCUGGGUCAUUACCCAAAAAAAAAAAAAGUAAAUACACCACAAAUCUUUUGUUGCUUAAUAGGAUAAAUGUUAGUAGUGAUAUAUAUGGUUCACUCCGAGACGAUUUUUUCGUUAAAAAAAAAAGAAAAAUUUUAAUAAGGAAGAAGAAUAAAACAAUGUAAACCAAUUCACCAAUAAUUGAAAUGAACAAAGUUUUUUAAUUACAUCCUUAUAUAGACAGGCGUAGUAGAUGAGAAAAUCAGAGUGAUAAAAAACAAAGAAGCUCCCAAAAUUACUGCUAUAAAGCAUUGGAAAUUUCAUUCGCGAACAAACAGUGACAAUUUAUAAUCUAUGAACCCAACGCAAAUAAACAUAGAUAGCACAAAGCAAGAGUAUAAUGAGAAACUUACACAGGAGUAGCAAUUUCU